AGCAGGCAAGCGCGAGGCACACACCAGGUCGUCUGAUAAGGACGGCAGCCCUUUGGGGUGGGAUCCUGGGUCCUCGGGGCCUGCUAUUCU
RNAcentral lists this non-coding RNA (90 nucleotides) under unclassified sequences. RNAcentral describes it as "DUF3800-VII RNA". It matches the Rfam family "DUF3800-VII RNA". The record is from Rfam by way of RNAcentral.